RNAcentral lists this ribosomal RNA (301 nucleotides) under uncultured bacterium. Its description in RNAcentral is "partial 16S ribosomal RNA". It matches the Rfam family "Bacterial small subunit ribosomal RNA", at positions 509 to 807 of the family's 1533-position model. The record is from RNAcentral.
CAGUCGCCGCGGGAAUACGGAGGGUGCAAGCGUUAAUCGGAAUUACUGGGCGUAAAGCGCACGCAGGCGGUUUGUUAAGUCAGAUGUGAAAUCCCCGAGCUUAACUUGGGAACUGCAUUUGAAACUGGCAAGCUAGAGUCUUGUAGAGGGGGGUAGAAUUCCAGGUGUAGCGGUGAAAUGCGUAGAGAUGUGGAGGAACACCGAUGGCGAAGGCAGCCCCCUGGGCCAAUACUGACGCUCAUGCACGAAAGCGUGGGGAGCAAACAGGAUUAGAUACCCGGGUAGUCCCUGUCUCUUAUAC